RNAcentral lists this ribosomal RNA (253 nucleotides) under uncultured bacterium. Its description in RNAcentral is "partial 16S ribosomal RNA". It matches the Rfam family "Bacterial small subunit ribosomal RNA", at positions 524 to 776 of the family's 1533-position model. The record is from RNAcentral.
UACGGGGGGGGCAAGCGUUGUUCGGAAUUACUGGGCGUAAAGGGCUCGUAGGUGGCCAACUAAGUCAGACGUGAAAUCCCUCGGCUUAACCGGGGAACUGCGUCUGAUACUGGAUGGCUAGAGUUUGGGAGAGGGAUGCGGAAUUCCAGGUGUAGCGGUGAAAUGCGUAGAUAUCUGGAGGAACACCGGUGGCGAAGGCGGCAUCCUGGACCAACACUGACGCUGAGGCGCGAAAGCGUGGGGAGCAAACAGG